RNAcentral lists this microRNA (22 nucleotides) under Acyrthosiphon pisum (pea aphid). RNAcentral describes it as "api-miR-3015a". Lineage: Eukaryota; Metazoa; Arthropoda; Insecta; Hemiptera; Aphididae. The record is from miRBase by way of RNAcentral.
UUACUGGACAUUGUAAGAACGG